This 18-nucleotide unclassified non-coding RNA is filed under the name Mus musculus (house mouse). Its description in RNAcentral is "oocyte_clustered_small_RNA9142". Lineage: Eukaryota; Metazoa; Chordata; Mammalia; Rodentia; Muridae. The record is from RNAcentral.
GGGCUGUGAGCGCUGAGG